This 408-nucleotide ribosomal RNA is filed under the name uncultured bacterium. RNAcentral's name for it is "partial 16S ribosomal RNA". It matches the Rfam family "Bacterial small subunit ribosomal RNA", at positions 28 to 526 of the family's 1533-position model. The record is from RNAcentral.
GACGAACACUGGCGGCGUGCCUAAUACAUGCAAGUCGACCUUAGUGGCGAACGGGUGAUUAACACGUGGCUGACCUACCCAGCAAACUGGUGUAACACUUGGCAACAGGUGCUAAUACCGUAUACUGAUGGAUGUACCCGCGGUGCAUUAGCUAGUUGGUGAGGUAACGGCUCACCAAGGCCACGAUGCAUAGCCGACCUGAGAGGGUGAUCGGCCACACUGGGACUGAGACACGGCCCAAACUCCUACGGGAGGCAGCAGUGGGGAAUAUUCGGCAAUGGACGAAAGUCUGACCGAGCAAUGCCGCGUGAGUGAAGAAGGUCUUCGGAUCGUAAAACUCUGUUGUUAGAGAAGCGGUAUCUGACCAGAAAGCAACGGCUAACUCCGUGCCAGCAGCCGCGGUAAUAC